UACGUAGGGUGCAAGCGUUAAUCGGAAUUACUGGGCGUAAAGCGUGCGCAGGCGGUUAUGCAAGACAGAGGUGAAAUCCCCGGGCUCAACCUGGGAACUGCCUUUGUGACUGCAUGGCUAGAGUACGGUAGAGGGGGAUGGAAUUCCGCGUGUAGCAGUGAAAUGCGUAGAUAUGCGGAGGAACACCGAUGGCGAAGGCAAUCCCCUGGACCUGUACUGACGCUCAUGCACGAAAGCGUGGGGAGCAAACAGGA
This 254-nucleotide ribosomal RNA is filed under the name uncultured Burkholderiales bacterium. RNAcentral describes it as "partial 16S ribosomal RNA". It matches the Rfam family "Bacterial small subunit ribosomal RNA", at positions 524 to 777 of the family's 1533-position model. Lineage: Bacteria; Pseudomonadati; Pseudomonadota; Betaproteobacteria; Burkholderiales. The record is from RNAcentral.